GCUGGGCGUGGUGGUGCACGCCUGUAAUCUCAGAUACUUGAGAGGCUGAAGCCGGAGAAUUGCUUGAACCCGGGAGGUGUAGGUGGCAGUGAGCUGAGAUUGCACCACUGCACUCCAGCCUGGGUGACAGAGCGAGACCCUGUCUCAG
This 148-nucleotide small RNA is filed under the name Papio anubis (olive baboon). RNAcentral describes it as "Metazoan signal recognition particle RNA (ENSPANG00000049008.1)". The record is from Rfam by way of RNAcentral. Lineage: Eukaryota; Metazoa; Chordata; Mammalia; Primates; Cercopithecidae.